GACGAACGCUGGCGGCGUGCUUAACACAUGCAAGUCGAACGGAAAGGCCCUGCUUUUGUGGGGUGCUCGAGUGGCGAACGGGUGAGUAACACGUGAGUAACCUGCCCUUGACUUUGGGAUAACUUCAGGAAACUGGGGCUAAUACCGGAUAGGAGCUCCUGCUGCAUGGUGGGGGUUGGAAAGUUUCGGCGGUUGGGGAUGGACUCGCGGCUUAUCAGCUUGUUGGUGGGGUAGUGGCUUACCAAGGCUUUGACGGGUAGCCGGCCUGAGAGGGUGACCGGCCACAUUGGGACUGAGAUACGGCCCAGACUCCUACGGGAGGAAACAGUGGGGAAUAUUGCACAAUGGGCGAAGCCUGAUGCAGCAACGCCGCGUGCGGGAUGACGGCCUUCGGGUUGUAAACCGCUUUCGCCUGUGACGAAGCGUGAGUGACGGUAAUGGGUAAAGAAGCACCGGCUAACUACGUG
Molecule: ribosomal RNA, 467 nt
Filed under: uncultured bacterium
Lineage: Bacteria
Description: partial 16S ribosomal RNA
Rfam family: Bacterial small subunit ribosomal RNA
Source: RNAcentral